Molecule: ribosomal RNA, 269 nt
Filed under: uncultured prokaryote
Description: partial 16S ribosomal RNA
Rfam family: Archaeal small subunit ribosomal RNA
Source: RNAcentral
UACCAGCAGUCCAAGUCGCAAUCAACUUUAUUGGGUCUAAAACAUCCGUAGCUUGCUAUGUAAGUCUCUUGUGAAAUCCUGCCUCUCAAGGGUAGAAGUGCGAGAGAUACUGCGUAGCUAGAGACCGGGAGACGUGGGAAGUACGGUUAGGGUAGCGGUAAAAUGCGUUGAUCCUUUCUGGACUAACAAUAGCGAAGGCAUCCUGCGAGAACGGAUCUGACAGUGAGGGAUGAAGGCUAGGGGCGCAAAACGGAUUAGAUACCCGCGUA